AAACGGGUAAGUCCUACACGACCAGCUCCCUGAAAACUCCCCCAGAUCUUGACCGAAGCAAGGGUAUCAGGUUGUAGCGGUGCGAUGUAGUAAGCUUACCCU
This 102-nucleotide signal recognition particle RNA is filed under the name human gut metagenome. RNAcentral's name for it is "Bacteroidales small SRP". It matches the Rfam family "Bacteroidales small SRP". Rfam says of the family: The non-coding component of the signal recognition particle in Bacteroides The record is from RNAcentral.